UCMUUAGUAUUAGAGGCACUGCCUGCCCAGUGACAAUUAGUUUAACGGCCGCGGUAUCCUGACCGUGCAAAGGUAGCAUAAUCAUUUGUUCCUUAAUUAGGGACUUGUAUGAAUGGCCCCACGAGGGUUUAACUGUCUCUUACUUCUAAUCAGUGAAAUUGACCUUCCCGUGAAGAGGCGGGAAUAUAAAAAUAAGACGAGAAGACCCUAUGGAGCUUAAAUUAACGUGUCCAACAAAACUUAAUAUUAACCCAACAGGAAUAAUUACAUUUUAACUGGGCAAUAAAUUUUGGUUGGGGUGACCUCGGAGUAUAAUCAAACCUCCGAGYAAUUUAACCAAGACUAACCCGUCAAGGUUAUAUAACUUAUUGAUCCAAUCAUAUUGAUCAACGAAACAAGUUACCCUAGGGAUAACAGCGCAAUCCUAUUUAAGAGUUCAUAUCGACAAUAGGGUUUACGACCUCGAUGUUGGAUCAGGACACCCAAAUGGUGCAGCAGCUAUUAANNNUUCGUU
RNAcentral lists this ribosomal RNA (514 nucleotides) under Crocidura roosevelti. RNAcentral describes it as "partial 16S ribosomal RNA". It matches the Rfam family "Bacterial large subunit ribosomal RNA", at positions 1837 to 2577 of the family's 2925-position model. Lineage: Eukaryota; Metazoa; Chordata; Mammalia; Eulipotyphla; Soricidae. The record is from RNAcentral.